GAGCUAACGGCUAACUGACUAAACCAGCUAAGAGCUAACUAGCUCAGAGCUAACGGCUAACUGACUAAACCAGCUCAGAGCUAACGGCUAACUGACUAAACCAGCUAAGAGCUAACUAGCUCAGAGCUAACGGCUAACUGACUAAACCAGGUAAGAGCUAACGGCUAACUGACUAGCGGCUAACUAGCUCAGAGCUAACGGCUAGCAACUCUUUAACCAGCGGCGCGCGGGGUGUAAAGACAUGUUAAAGCAUUAAAACAAUAUGAAUUGUUGAGAUACAGAGAUGCUGCUGAUGAGUCCGCGUGGCUGUCAGUAUCACAGGAUGUCCAUGAGAUAACGUUAGGAGGACUAAA
Molecule: long non-coding RNA, 353 nt
Organism: Sebastes umbrosus (honeycomb rockfish)
Lineage: Eukaryota; Metazoa; Chordata; Actinopteri; Perciformes; Sebastidae
Exons: 2
Source: RefSeq, a predicted model, not a curated record